RNAcentral lists this long non-coding RNA (1099 nucleotides) under Nicotiana benthamiana. Its description in RNAcentral is "long non-coding RNA (NBEN_LNC024655)". Lineage: Eukaryota; Viridiplantae; Streptophyta; Magnoliopsida; Solanales; Solanaceae. The record is from RNAcentral.
CAUAAUGGCCCAAAUUCCAGCCUGAACUUUAGAAAUUAAAGCAGAAGCUGCGACAAAUUAAAAUUAAAAUUAACUUGUGCAUUAUAUUGGUAAUAGUGCUUGCAAAGUUCAAACUAAUAGUUGAGAAAUUAGUCCAAUAGUUGAAAUUCAGUCAAAUCUAAAUACAUCUUAAUGUAUAUUCAUAUUCAUAUAUUUUAAUCUUAAUAAAAACAAACGACCUUUAAGAUGAGCUGAAAUGAAACGACCUGAUCCACAAUAAUUCAUAUAGUCGAUCUCAACCUACUUGGAUUAAAAUCUCAUAAUUGUUAGUAAUUAUAUGAUUCUCUUCAUCCAUUGAGAGAAUUCAUCACAUCUUGGUAUAACAUACCAUUUGUCUGAUCUGCCCCAUUUAUUUGACCCGCACUAUUAUUUUUUUCUUUAUUUCUUACCACCUUGACUGGACGGAGAUCAUGACUGAAAAUCACAAAUCAAAAAACUCGCCAAAGACCUCGCUUGACUUGGCUCCUUGAAACCCAACUCAAAAAAUCAAAUACCAGUGGAGAAGAAAGUGAGUUGUCAGAUCUUGUUUUAAAAAAAAGUCGAGAGUUUGGUUUUGGCAGUAGUGCAUUUUUGGGUGGUGUUGGGGCUGUUUCGCUGGAGAAAACUGACUAGAUAACGUGAUGGCUAUGAAGAUGCUUUAGUGACUUUUGGGGGUGUUAGAAGGCUAUGAUCUGGAUAAAAUGGAUGGUUACCUGGCUAAAAUGGGAUGCUGUUUUGGAGCUGUUGCACAGUGGCGCGUACCAACUGUAUUUUAAGGCUGUUUGGGUUUUUUUGGUGGUUUUGCUGCUAUUUACGGACAGAAAAGGGUUAUUUUUUGGGCUGAUUUUUGGGUAGGAUGAAAGGGUAUGAUGAAAGGCUGUAGGAUAAGAGAGAUUGUGCGGCGGUAAUGGUGGAGAUGAUUUGUAAAGUAAAAAAUGAGAUUAGUCAAUUGAGAAUAGUGAGGAAGGAGAGUGGAUUGAAGGAAGCUGCAAUUGGUAUUGAUUUUCUUUUCAAGGCAAGUAGAAGAAGAAAGGGGAUGGGUGGUCUGGUGGGUGGGACUAGGUAGUGGUGCUUAUUGGGC